AUUUAACUUAUACUGAAUAAUAUAUUAAGAUACGAUCUUGUUACUCUAAUUAUCCUUUGCUGAAUAUCUUCUCUGAAUAUCUCUUUUGUUACUUUAAUUAGUUGCCCACCUCUACCGUUUGGUCCUCGCUUCUACCGUUCGGUCCUCGCUUCUACCGUUCGGUCCUCGCUUCUACCGUUCGGUUCUCUUCUCCUUCUCUCCUAUACCUCUUCCUCUCCUACACUUUCUAGCCCCUAUCAUAUAUUUUCCAGCCCCUAACAGUACACCCCGCUGCAAAACAACCUUGUCCUCAAGGUUGGGAACGGGGAGCUUGAUCUCAUGGCUCCUCAUCAAUUAAGGUCUGGAGGCUCAGGUGGUGGCCAUUCGUCCUCGUCUUCUGCCAAUAUCAUGACUCUUAGGCACUUAUCCGGGUAGCGGUGAGCAGGACCGAACAUUUUGCCGCAUCUAAAGCACCUUCCUUCUUUCCUUCGUUUCUCAUACUCCUCAUAAGGCAGAUUUCUCAUGUUUCUUUCCUUUCGUCCGGACCCCACAUUCUCUGUGAUUGCCGCUUGGCUUUCCACAGAAGUUACCGUUCGGUUCUGGAUAGGGCGACUGGGCUCCAACCACGUAUUCGAACCGUUAGGUCUCUCCCCAGAGUGAUUCUCGAUCAUACUUUCGCCUUCAGUCCUCGCACCUCCGUGGAGCUCCUCUGUGUCCCUUGCCAUCCUCAUAGCCGACAUCAACUCCUGUGGGUCUAGCAGCCAUACUUGCUUACGAAUCUCCUCUGUAGCCCUGCCAUGAAGUACCCCAUUACUUGUGCCUCAGUUACGCCGGACGUUUGUCCUACCAAGAUUUCAAAAUCUUUUAUGUAAUCUUCCACUGACCCUGUUUGCCUGCUGGACGCCAAACUUUCAAAGAUUGACCCCUGACUUCUUCCUCCAAAUCGGUUCACCAUCGCUUCCUUCAACCCUGUCCACGUAUGGUUUUUGGUCUUGCCCCUCCAAAAUCUAAACCAAUGACCAGUGCUACCCUACAUGUUGAUAUAGGCGAGGCGUAGUUUUUCAUCCUCGUUAACCCCUUGUAAUUCAAAAAAUUUGUCAGCCCUAUUAAUCCAAUUUAGUGGAUCAACCCCUUCAAAAUUUGGCAAUUCGACCCUUUUCUUCCACUCACUGUUCGGUCCACCACCUCCACCACCGAUCUUCUCUCCUUCUUCAUCCUUGUGUUGGUUCUCCCUUUUCCCGUUGACCGAGCUCUGGCUUUCAUCCGAGUUCUCAUCGUUUUGACGAGUUCGUCUUUCCAGCAUCAUCAUCAAUUGUUGCAUGUCUUUGCGGAGUGUCGCUGAUUUUGCCUCCAUGUCCUUGCGGAGUGCCGCUAAUUCCGCCACCCUGGACAUCUCCAUGUUUUCUAGUUUCAGCUCCAUGCCAUCCAGUCUUCCUUCGAUUGCACUUACCCUUCCCUCCAUGAUUUCUUUCUCCCUCUUAUUGAUCCGGUAGUUUCCUCACCCUUGACGGAUCCGGCAUGUCAGACCAAUUGUUACGUAUCCGAGUAGGGAACGUAACGAAAUCGCCCUCUCACACACUCAAAACAAGCAAAAGAAUAAUAAAAGAAUGGAAUUGAACAAAUGAAUCUCUUUUAUUGAUGGUAGUGUAUGAAUAAACAAAAGUAAACAAUAAUUGGGAGCAUAACCUCCGUCAACUAUUUCUAAUAAUUGGGAGCAUAACCUCCGUCAAUUAUCCUGGAGCAUAACCUCCUUUACAAAACUCACAAAUCAAAAGCAUACCUUUAACCCUAGACUCUAGCCUUAUUUAUACUAUAGUAUUUCCCGCCCAUCUCUUACUAAAUAUCUCUCUAGAAUAUAUCUAUAUUUAAUGUAAAUAUCCCUAUAUAAUCCCCUAGUAUCUAUCAUUAAUUAUAAAUAUUAUCUAUUGUAUAUUUCUUUGGACUGUAUAUUUAUUUACUAUAGUUAUCUUGUACUGAAUAAUAUCCUAAUAUAUGGCUUUGAUUACUCUAAUUAACUUCUCUAGAAUAUCUUCUCAGAAUAUCUCUUUUGUUACUUUAAUUAGUUGCCCGCCAUUCGGUCCUUGCUUCUACAGUUCGGUCUUCGCUUCUACCAUUUGGUCUUCGCUUCUACCAUUCGGUCCUCGCUUCUACCGUUCGGUUCUCUUCUCCUUCUCUCCUGUACCUCUUCCUCUCCUACACUUUCCAGCCCCUAUCAUAUGUUUUCCAGCCCCUAACACUUACUGUAGGAUGUAUUGUGGAGUCUAUUUAUGCCAUACUAGAUAUCAGAGAAAACAUAACAGGGAAAAAUGAAGUGUGAAAUUAUGAUAAAAGUGACAGUGAAAUUAUAUAGUAGCUAAUAAGCUGUAUGACUCACUUCUGAGUCAGCAACUACACACUAGCUAACAAAGUCUAUCAGAAGAAUUGCCAGUGAAAUUGCAAAAACAUAAAUGUAGAGGUCAUGUUAUCUCAAUAUUGCAAUUUAUUUCUGAUUGCGUUAAGGUUUCAUGAAUGGUUAGAUGUUCUUUUGGUCUUCUUUAUUUUUGGUUGCUUGGUUUUGUUUAUAAAAAAUAAAGGUGACAUUUUCUUACUAAAUUUACAAUUUGUCUUUAUUUUUUUCCUCCCUCUUGCAGUGGUUGCUCUCAAUUGUCUUUUUCUUACUCAUGUUUUUUUAUUAGUUUUGUUGGAGAUCCUGCAUUAAUUAGAGACAUGGACAAAAUAUAAUAAAUGAGUGUAAACCUCUCUUUAUGAAGCAACUUUUGUAGGAUUGAGUUAGAUGUAAUUUUCAGUUCGUAGCAUGUGGGAUUAUGUUAGAGUGAUGAGGCCCAAAGAAUGAGUGGGCUUACUCGAUCAAUAGACUACGAAGGUACCAAGACACGUUGGGGAAAAGUAUAUGGAAUAAAGAAGAGAGAUUCUAUUUGUAUUCUGUUUUGCCUAGAUUUAUGUUUGGGAUAAUUUCAACAGGAGGGUUGAGAUAUGUUUAAAGUCCGCUUUCUCAUAAUUUAAAUAGAAAUAAGAGUAUAAGUUUGCAAAUUUUGUUGUCUUGAUCGUUUUUUUAUGAAAUUACUUGAUGAAAUGGGGGAAUAACCAAAAAAUCUUAUUGUUUGUCUUGGAUUUUCCUAUUAUUUAGGUUUUUGUUGCAAUAAACAAGAACUUGUUUUUUCUUAAUCCUUUUCUAUAACUUAUUAGAACUUGUUUGUUUAUUUCUCUUAGCUUCCAUUUAUUGAAGCAAAAUUGCUUUGUCAUUUGUUGGAAGUUCCAUAUUGAUUAGAGAUAAGACCAUUUUAGAGUAUAUAUGUGGGUGCAAAUCUCACCUUAUAAGCUGGUUUUGGAAGGUUGAAUUAAGUUUAAAGUUCACUUCUUAACAUGGUACCAAAGGUAUGGGUUAGAGCUUAUUCGAGCGAGAUUUGUGUUUGUUGGACAUAUCAUUCUAUCUGUCAUCAGACAGUUAUUUGACCACUCAUUAAUGUCUAAUCUCAUACACAAGAUGUAUGUACUUCGGCAUGAGAGG
Molecule: long non-coding RNA, 3487 nt
Filed under: Vigna radiata
Lineage: Eukaryota; Viridiplantae; Streptophyta; Magnoliopsida; Fabales; Fabaceae
Description: long non-coding RNA (VRAD_LNC002967)
Source: RNAcentral